UCAUUCUGCAAUGCUUUAAGCACUAUUUUUCGAAUGAAAGCUGAAGACAAAGUCGGGGAUUCUGAGGAUCAUCUUCUUCGAAAGGAAUCUUGAUGGAAGAAUUGAUUGAUCGUCUGUUUGGACACAACAAUUGGUGUACCGAAAUAUUUUAUCAAACGCCAUCUAGCGGCGACGUGAACAACUUACAGCCAUCGACCUGCAUCUGCGAUAAGCAUAGGUGCUCCAAUAUUAUGUCUUGGUGAUUCGAAUGUUUAUUCUAAAUGUUAGGUGCUCCAUUUUGGCGUAUAUUUUGUUUUGAUGCAUAUUUUCUUUGUAACUGUUCCUGUGCUCUGUUAAUAAAUACUUUUAGAGCUG
Molecule: long non-coding RNA, 354 nt
Organism: Stegodyphus dumicola
Lineage: Eukaryota; Metazoa; Arthropoda; Arachnida; Araneae; Eresidae
Source: RefSeq, a predicted model, not a curated record